RNAcentral lists this ribosomal RNA (497 nucleotides) under uncultured bacterium. RNAcentral's name for it is "partial 16S ribosomal RNA". It matches the Rfam family "Bacterial small subunit ribosomal RNA", at positions 28 to 507 of the family's 1533-position model. The record is from RNAcentral.
GAUGAACGCUGGCGGCGUGCUUAAUACAUGCAAGUCGAGCGAACAGACGAGGAGCUUGCUCCUCUGACGUUAGCGGCGGACGUGUGAGUAACACGUGGAUAACCUACCUAUAAGACUGGGAUAACCUCGGGAAACCGGAGCUAAUACCGGAUAAUAUAUUGAACCGCAUGGUUCAAUAGUGAAAGUCGGUUUUUCUGUCACUUAUAGAUGGAUCCGCGCCGCAUUAGCUAGUUGGUAAGGUAACGGCUUACCAAGGCAACGAUGCGUAGCCGACCUGCGAGGGUGGUCGGCCACACUGGAACUGGAACACGGUCCAUGCUCCUACGAGAGGCAGCAGUAGGGAAUCUUCCGCAAUGGGCGAAAGCUUGGCGGAGCAACGCCGCGUGAGUGAUGAAGGUCUUCGGAUCGUAAAACUCUGUUAUUAGGGAAGAACAGAUGUGUAAGGAACUGUGCACGUCUUGACGGUACCUAGUCAGAAAGCCACGGCUAACUACGUG